AUUGAACGCUGGCGGCAGGCCUAACGCAUGCAAGUCGAGCGGAUGAAGGGAGCUUGCUCCUGGAUUCAGCGGCGGACGGGUGAGUAAUGCCUAGGAAUCUGCCUGGUAGUGGGGGAUAACGUCCGGAAACGGGCGCUAAUACCGCAUACGUCCUGAGGGAGAAAGUGGGGGAUCUUCGGACCUCACGCUAUCAGAUGAGCCUAGGUCGGAUUAGCUAGUUGGUGGGGUAAAGGCCUACCAAGGCGACGAUCCGUAACUGGUCUGAGAGGAUGAUCAGUCACACUGGGACGGAGACACGGUCCAGCCUCCUACGGGAGGCAGCAGGGGGGAAUAGUGAACAAGGGGCGAAAGUCGGACCCAGCGAUGCCGCGGGUGGAAAGAAGGUCUUGGGUUUGUAAAGCUUUUUGGUUGGGGAAGAAGAAAAGAAAUUGAAUACCUUCGUUUUUUGAGGUUACAAAAAAAAAAAGCCCCGGCUAAUUCCGGG
RNAcentral lists this ribosomal RNA (484 nucleotides) under uncultured bacterium. RNAcentral describes it as "partial 16S ribosomal RNA". It matches the Rfam family "Bacterial small subunit ribosomal RNA", at positions 30 to 507 of the family's 1533-position model. The record is from RNAcentral.